Osmia bicornis bicornis is the source of this 338-nucleotide long non-coding RNA. RefSeq lists it as uncharacterized. The transcript is spliced from 3 exons. NCBI's taxonomy places the organism in Eukaryota, Metazoa, Arthropoda, Insecta, Hymenoptera, Megachilidae. The record is from RefSeq and is a predicted model, not a curated record.
UUCACAAAGGUAAGAGACAGUGUUGGGGAAGGAACGUGCUUACGCGCACAUAGUUUAUGAGUUCGAUCGUAGUAUCCGGUUUCAGUGAGUGUUGUGUGAGUUGGCGAAGUAGUAAAAAAAAGAGGUUAAAGUGAGAGGAAGAAGAGAAAGAAGAGGCAGAAACUGACGGGCGCUGCUUGGGCGGAUGAUUAUCAGUUUUUACAACAACGAAUACAUUCAACGUUUACACAAGGUUGACCUCUUGCGUCUUUGCGUUGUUAGAUAACGAUAUUCCUUGGUGCUUGUUGACGAGCAGUCUCACUCUGAGACGGGUCGGUUGACUUCGUGAGAGAUAGAAA